RNAcentral lists this ribosomal RNA (523 nucleotides) under uncultured bacterium. Its description in RNAcentral is "bacterial SSU rRNA". It matches the Rfam family "Bacterial small subunit ribosomal RNA", at positions 55 to 573 of the family's 1533-position model. The record is from RNAcentral.
AUGCAAGUCGAACGGCAGCACGGACUUCGGUCUGGUGGCGAGUGGCGAACGGGUGAGUAAUGUAUCGGAACGUGCCUAGUAGCGGGGGAUAACUACGCGAAAGCGUAGCUAAUACCGCAUACGCCCUACGGGGGAAAGCAGGGGAUCGCAAGACCUUGCACUAUUAGAGCGGCCGAUAUCGGAUUAGCUAGUUGGUGGGGUAACGGCUCACCAAGGCGACGAUCCGUAGCUGGUUUGAGAGGACGACCAGCCACACUGGGACUGAGACACGGCCCAGACUCCUACGGGAGGCAGCAGUGGGGAAUUUUGGACAAUGGGGGAAACCCUGAUCCAGCCAUCCCGCGUGUGCGAUGAAGGCCUUCGGGUUGUAAAGCACUUUUGGCAGGAAAGAAACGUCAUGGGCUAAUACCCCGUGAAACUGACGGUACCUGCAGAAUAAGCACCGGCUAACUACGUGCCAGCAGGCGCGGUAAUACGUAGGGUGCAAGCGUUAAUCGGAAUUACUGGGCGUAAAGCGUGCGCA